GACGUAGGGCGCGAGCGUUGUCCGGAUUUAUUGGGCGUAAAGAGCUCGUAGGCGGCUUGUCGCGUCGACUGUGAAAACCCAGGGCUUAACCCUGGGCUGGCUUCCGAUACGGGCAGACUAGAGGUAUGCAGGGGAGAACGGAAUUCCUGGUGUAGCGGUGAAAUGCGCAGAUAUCAGGAGGAACACCGGUGGCGAAGGCGGUUCUCUGGGCAUUACCUGACGCUGAGGAGCGAAAGUGUGGGGAGCAAACAGG
Molecule: ribosomal RNA, 253 nt
Filed under: uncultured bacterium
Lineage: Bacteria
Description: partial 16S ribosomal RNA
Rfam family: Bacterial small subunit ribosomal RNA
Source: RNAcentral